AUUGAACGCUGGCGGCAGGCUUAACACAUGCAAGUCGAGCGGAGCGAGGGUGCUUGCACCUUAGCUUAGCGGCGGACGGGUGAGUAAUGCUUAGGAAUCUGCCAAUUAGUGGGGGACAACAUCUCGAAAGGGAUGCUAAUACCGCAUACGUCCUACGGGAGAAAGCAGGGGAUCACUUGUGACCUUGUGCUAAUAGAUGAGCCUAAGUCGGAUUAGCUAGUUGGUGGGGUAAAGGCCUACCAAGGCGACGAUCUGUAGCGGGUCUGAGAGGAUGAUCCGCCACACUGGGACUGAGACACGGCCCAGACUCCUACGGGAGGCAGCAGUGGGGAAUAUUGGACAAUGGGGGGAACCCUGAUCCAGCCAUGCCGCGUGUGUGAAGAAGGCCUUAUGGUUGUAAAGCACUUUAAGCGAGGAGGAGGCUCUUUUGGUUAAUACCCAAGAUGAGUGGACGUUACUCGCAGAAUAAGCACCGGCUAACUCUGUGCCAGCCGCCGCCGUAA
RNAcentral lists this ribosomal RNA (503 nucleotides) under uncultured bacterium. RNAcentral describes it as "partial 16S ribosomal RNA". It matches the Rfam family "Bacterial small subunit ribosomal RNA", at positions 30 to 523 of the family's 1533-position model. The record is from RNAcentral.